CCUACGGGUGGCAGCAGUGAGGAAUAUUGGUCAAUGGGCGGAAGUCUGAACCAGCCAAGUAGCGUGAGGGAUGACGGCCCUAUGGGUUGUAAACUGCUUUUGUAUGGGGAUAACAUGUUCCACGUGUGGAGGUUUGUAGGUACCGUGUGAAUAAGGGUCGGCUAAAUCCGUGCCAGCAGCCGCGGUAAUACGGAGGAUCCGAGCGUUAUCCGGAUUUAUUGGGUUUAAAGGGAGCGUAGGUGGAUGUUUAAGUCAGUUGUGAAAGUUUGCGGCUCAACCGCAAACUGUGAGUUGAAAAUGGCAGUCCUGAGGACAGCAGCGGUGGGGCGAAUUUGGGGU
Molecule: ribosomal RNA, 339 nt
Filed under: uncultured bacterium
Lineage: Bacteria
Description: partial 16S ribosomal RNA
Rfam family: Bacterial small subunit ribosomal RNA
Source: RNAcentral